AGAGAGAGACAUGCGCGCAUAUCAAUAAGCGGAGGAAAAGAAACUAACUAGGAUUCCCUCAGUAACGGCGAGUGAAGCGGGAAGAGCUCAAAUUUGAAAUCUUCAAGGUUCUACCUUGACGAAUUGUAGUUUAAAGAAGUGUUUUCUGUUGGAGUUUUGGUAAAAGUUCUUUGGAAUAGGACAUCAUAGAGGGUGAGAAUCCCGUAUUUGACCAUUACUUUCCAACUUUGUGAUACACUUUCAAAGAGUCGGAUUGUUUGGGAAUGCAGUCCAAAAUGGGUGGUAAAUUUCAUCUAAAGCUAAAUAUCUGGCGAGAGACCGAUAGCGAACAAGUACCGUGAGGGAAAGAUGAAAAGAACUUUGAAAAGAGAGUUAAACAGUACGUGAAAUUGUCAAAAGGGAAGCGUUUGACACCAGUGUUGUUUUCUCGAAAAUCAAUUAAAAAAGGCAGGAUUUUGUGUUGUAUUGACUUUAUCAGCUUUCUGCACUCUUUUCUUGUCUUUUUUAAUGCACUUUUCGUUUAACAAGUCAACAUCAAUUUCUUUUGUUGUAAAAGGGUCAUUGGAAGGUGGCUUUCUUUUCGGAGAAAGUGUUUAUAGCCUUUGGCCUCUGCAAUCGGAGAGAUUGAGGUCUGCAGCGUAGAUCCUUCGGGGUUAGAUACAUUUGUGCUAAGUUAUAGCCUUUUCAUAGACAACUUGUUGACUAUGAUCAGUCAUGUAGCUUACUCGCUUAUGCUAUUUUACCUACGCUUAGGAUGUUGAUGUGAUACUGCGAGCA
RNAcentral lists this ribosomal RNA (777 nucleotides) under uncultured Neocallimastigales. RNAcentral's name for it is "partial large subunit ribosomal RNA". It matches the Rfam family "Eukaryotic large subunit ribosomal RNA", at positions 23 to 639 of the family's 3401-position model. Lineage: Eukaryota; Fungi; Neocallimastigomycota; Neocallimastigomycetes; Neocallimastigales. The record is from RNAcentral.